CGGGCUGCGCCGGCCAGGGUCUCAGCUCAUGGGAACCCGCCGGCCGGCGCGGCAGGUACGUCAACGACUCUCGCAGCUCUCCGCUCUGACCUCUGACCGACGGCUGGCCCCAAAUCCGCGGUUCAACGUUUUAUCGUCAUCGAGUUCAGUUGCGAUGGAAAGCGAGCUCUACUGAAGAAAGUGAAAGAAGCUACAGAGCUUCAAGAAAAUAGGAAUAACCUAAACUAAAAUAGCACAGCAGAAUCUAAACCUGAGUUCUGCCGCGUACAAAGCCAUGGAUCAAACCACUGCGUACUUCACUCGUCGCCACAUUUAUGUUUGAGCAACUGAUGUUAAAAUUCGCCAUCAACAUCAACAUCUUGCCGCAAAAACAAAGGUGUUUCGGCUUGCGCCGCUAUCCGAAGGGGUUGAUCACGCAGCAGCAAUUUACCGUCGCAGCGAAACGGACAACUUUCCAAAAUGACCAGUAGCCUGUCUUACGGGCAAAUCAGUGCUGUCAACGGCUGUGGAAAUAUCCAGAGGGCGAGACUUCCUAUAUGGCGAGCAGUAGCACUAUUUCAACAAGGAAAAGCGUACACUAGCCAGCAGAAACGAACUCACCAAGUGGCAUAGAUUGGUAGCUAUCAAUUCAACAUGUGUUGUGUUCUGAAACGCAAAAAGAAGCAAACCUUCAAGCAGAUUCCUGUUCAUAUAAUGGAAGAGGAUUGAUGAUAUCUUCAAAUGUAAAGAUGUCAACGACACAAAGGUUACAGUGGUUUACUGAACAUGGCCUCUGAAAUUGCUUAACCAUAUAGUUAACAGGGAUCCACAGUUUAACGGCAACUUCGAACCAUAGCACAACCUGGCAUUUUUCAAUUUACCAGACCAUUGUCGAGAGGAAAGAGGCGUAUUUGUAAUAAAACCU
Molecule: long non-coding RNA, 904 nt
Organism: Schistocerca piceifrons (Central American locust)
Lineage: Eukaryota; Metazoa; Arthropoda; Insecta; Orthoptera; Acrididae
Exons: 3
Source: RefSeq, a predicted model, not a curated record